Molecule: long non-coding RNA, 6288 nt
Organism: Tripterygium wilfordii
Lineage: Eukaryota; Viridiplantae; Streptophyta; Magnoliopsida; Celastrales; Celastraceae
Exons: 8
Source: RefSeq, a predicted model, not a curated record
UUUGCCUUCCCUUUGUAUGUUUGGGGAAAAAAAUAUCCGUUACAGCUUUUAUGCCCAAAUCAUGAAUUCUAGUAUAAAAAAAUCACGAUGAUGGAUCACUGGGAUUUCAGCUAUGGAGGAAAAGCUAAUACAAAGUCCACUUAAGCAGAGAGUUCGAAAAAGAGAUCAAGAGCCAAGAAACCCAGAGUAGUUUCUGUGUCAAACAGUCCGAAUAUCAUGGAAUCCUAAUUUCGUGAAGGAAGAUGGGGUGGGGGUGAUUGUCGAUUUUCUCGUGUUUUCCUAAUUUGUUUAGGAGAUCCUGGAAAAUCCCAAGGAAACGUUCGUUGUGGGGUAUAAAACACGGCCACCUCCCAGCAGCCAAACAGACAGCAAUGCACACUGUCCAUAAUGUUUGUUGUGGGUUGUAUUCUAUUGCGCAACCCCCCGCCUCUAGACAUUGGCACUAACCUUUUCAGAACUCCUCUCUUUCUCUCACCACUAACCAUUAUGUGACCCUCUCUCUGGCGACGAUCAACCUUUUCUAGUACUUCAGAUUUUUCAUGGAAUACCAAGGCUUAGCUCAGUUUGUUCAUAUGCUAAAGAUAAGCUGAAAUUCAAGAAUUGAGGCACCACUGCACCAGUAUUUAAGCAUAAUGAUCCCGAACAUGUCUAGUGAACAUGCAAUUUGUAAGAUGAAUCAAAGAAGAAGCUGACUUUAUAAAUAGGGCAAGCAGGGAUUCGAUCCUAAGGCAGGAAAGAGAGGGAUAGAUCUAAGAGGUGCUAGUGGUAUUCUGACCUAGGAACUAGAGCAGACCAGACGCAACAAUCUUCAUCUUCCGUCUGCUAGUAUGAUAGGAGAAAUAGAACUAAUAGUAUAGGAACUCAAAGCAGAGAAAUACUUUAUCUUCUUGUGAAGGUUCAUGAGGAAUUGGUUCAUAAUGGUUCUGACUUCUGAGUUUGAAGAGACAGAAAAACUUGAUGCAGAUCAUAUGCUUAUCAUCAACUUACCAAAAAAGAGUAUGUAUCGUGGAAUUCUCAAUUUAAAAACUGCCACGAGGAAAAUCAUAUACAUACGGAAAGGUUAGUAUGAUAUUCUUCUUGAUCUCAGAUAUGUGUCCUUUAACUUACUGACCGCUUACAUAUAUAGCUACUUUUUUUUACUUAUUAUAUUAGAUUACUUGUUAAACUACUGAGUCUUGAUAUGGUUUAUGAGUCAUCUUGGGUAGAUUUUCUGCCGUUGCCUUUUUUGUUUGAAAUUGUGGAGAUAGGACUGCCUGAGUUUUAAUAUGAGAAAUUCCUGCAGGAACUUUUGAAUCAGCAAAUGGACAACUGUAAUUUAAACUUGAAUCCUGAAAUCUAUAAUGUCGGUGCCUUGUUUAGCUGAGUUACUGUGAUAUCUAUACAUGGUAUUUUACAUUUACUUUAUUUAACUUGCAUUGAUGCUUGGAUAUGAUGGAUGCUAAAUUGCAUUUCAAACAGGGGAAUCUGAUUAGUGAAAGAGACUAGGGACUUAUUAGACUCCUCUUGGUAUUGAUGAAUGAUGUAUGCAUUGAGCUUCCAAAAUUGUGGAUUCUGCAAAUGUAUAUGCUAACCUAAAAAAUAUUGGCAACACUUUUUCCUGGAGCAAAGUGAGCCUUUGCUGUACACUUGGCUUAGAAUUUCAAAACUGAAAAAGAUUUAAUGAAUGGUGGGAGAGGACUUUGGAAUGGAGAAAAAGUGAGAAGCACUAAAUGGGCAGGUCCGUUUAAAUUUUGUGUUUUUCAUGAAAUACACUGACUUUUGGAAACAACAUCUAUUUCCUGGAACCUUUAUUGUACAAUUCGCUUGGAAUAUCAAAACUGAAAAAGAAUGGAUGAACAAUGAGAGAGGACUUUGGCAUGGGGAAAUAGUGAGAAGCACUCAAUGGCAGGUCUGUUUAUAUUUUGUGCUUUUCAUGAAAUACACUAACUUGUGGAAACAACUUCUCUUUCCUAGAGCCUUUGCUGUACACUUGGAUUGGAAUUUCAAAACUGAAAAAGAAUGAAUGAACAGUGAGGGAGGAUUUUGGCAUGGGGAAAAAGUGAGAAGCACUCAAUUGAUAGGUCCGUUUAAAUUUUGUGCUUUUCACGAAAUUCACUAACUUGGGAAAACAGCAACUAUUUCCCUAAGCCUUUGUUGUACACUUUUGGCUUGAAAUUUCAAAAUUGAAAAGUCAUAAAAGUGAGAAGCACUCCACUGACAAGUCCGUUUAAAUUUUGUGCUUUUCAUAAUAGUCACUAACCUCGGUAAACAACUUCUAUUUCCCGAAGCCUUUGCUGUACACUUGGCUUGGAAUUUCAAAAGUGAAAAAGAAUGAAUGAACGGUGAGAGACAAUUUUGGCUUGGGGAAAAAGUAAGAAGCACUCAAUGGGCAGGUUCGUUUAAAUUUUGUGCUUUUCACUAAAUACACUAACCUGUCGAAAAAACUCGUAUUUCUUGGAGGCUUUGUUGUACACUUGGCUUGGAAUUUGAAAACUGAUAAAGAAUGAAUGGACGGUGAGAGGAUUUUGGUAUGAGGAAAAUUUGAGAAGCACUCAAUUGACAGGUCUGUUUAAAUUUUGUGUUUUUCAUGAAAUUCACUAACCUGGGAAAACAACUUCUAUUUUGAAGUCUUUGUUGUACACUUUUUGCUUGAAAUUUCAAAAUUGAAAAAGCACAAAAGUGAGAAGCACUCAAUUGGCAGGUCCGUUUAAAUUUGUGCUUUUCAAUUCACUAACUUGGGAAAACAACUUUUAUUUCCCGGAGCCUUUGUUGUACACUUGGUUUGGAAUUUCAAAAAUGAAAAAGAAUGAAUGAACGGAGAGAUUAAUUUGGCAUGGGGAAAAAGUGAGCACUCAAUAGGUAGGUUCGUUUAAAUUUUGUGCUUUUCAUGAAAUACACCAACUUUAGGAAACGUCUAUUUCCUGGAGCCUUUAUUGUACAAUUCGCUUGGAAUUUCAAAACUGAAAAAGAAUGAAUAAACAAUCAGAGAAGACUUUGGAAUGAGGAAAAAGUGAGAAGCACUCAAUGGACAAGUCCGUUUAUAUUUUGUGUUUUUCAUAAAAUACACUAACUUGUGGAAACAAAUUCUAUUUCCUGGAGUCUUUGUUGUAUACUUGGCUUGGAAUUUCGAAACUGAAAAGGAAGUAAUGGAUGGUGAGAGUGGAUUUUGGCAUGGGAAAAAAGCGAGAAGCACUCAAUUGACAGGUCGGUUUAAAUUUUGUGCUUUUCAUUAAAUUCACUAACCUAAGAAAAUAACUUCUAUUUCCUGAAGCCUUUAUUGAACACUUUUGGCUUGAAAUUUGAAAAUUGAAGAGGCACAAAAGUGAGAAGCACUUAAUUGACAGGUCCGUUUAUAUUUUGUGCUUUUCAUGAAAUUCACUAACAUGGGAAAACAACUUCUAUUUCCUGAAGCCUUUGUUGUUCUUUUGGCUUGAAAUUUCAAAACUGAAAAGGAAUGAAUGAAUGGUGAGAGAGGAUUUUGGCAUGGGAAAAAAGUGAGAAGCACUCAAUGGGCAGGUCUGUUUAAAUUUUGUGCUUUUCAUGACAUUUGAUGUCAAAUGUCAUAGCUGGUCAGGCAACAGAGAGAACUACAGAUUUAUGUUUUUGAUUUCUUGAAAUCAUAGAGAUAUUGGUGGGGAAAAAAUGGAGAAAACUAUAGAACUCUGAAGAGAAGGGAAAACAUUGGGGGGGGGGCACUUGACGGACCAUUUAUGGGAGAAAUCACCCAAUUUAUCAGUGCCAAGGUCUGUUGUUUCUGUGAGCAAGGCUUGUGGUUGAGUGACUGAAGGUGAUGAUUUUGAUAUCAUUAUAAAGCACCAUACCAUAGCAGAGAUGGAGAGAAUUACGCUUCCCUAGUAUUCUCUUUCUUGCUCAUCUCAACCACUAACCCAACCUGAUGGAUUUCUCCAUAUUGUAAAUGCUGAUUAAUCUUUGUAUACUCUUGUCCCACCAAAAGAUUUAUUCUUUUACCUCUACAAUGUCGAAAAUUGUGAAAGAUUAACUUUAACCUUGUCCUUUCUCUAACCAUCCAAUGCAUGUUGAAAGAAACAACAAUGCCUUUGCCCAACUAUUUUCACUUUACUAAAAUCAACAGGUAUGCUUGCUGUAAACCUUCUAAAGUUUUUAUUUUUUCUCUCAUUGACAGGAUUCACAUGAACAGUCCCUUUAUUAUUGUCUUAAAGAAAACUUGAUGGAUGCUGGUUUGAUUAUAUCCUCGAUACUUUGAAAAAUGAAUGUACAAGCUGUGGAACAGUUAUGGAUUUAUUUUGUUGAAUCUGAUGAUGGUAUUGAAGAUGGUAGUACUUUAGCAGCUGCUUUAAUGUACCCCAUCACAAAGAGAACAAGGAAACCACAGUAAGUUUUCAUUGGAUACUCCAGGUAGGACAAUUUCAUAUUCAGCUUGGUUCCUAUUAUCAUAUAUCUUUUAUGUUGUGUACAGCUCUCGAGGAGUCAUCCCAAUCCAAAGAUCAUCUUUUUGUUCUAGAAAUUGCUGUCUGUCAAUGAACUCCUAAUGGUAUAGCACAUUAUGGUGGUAAUCACUAACUAGUAUCAACUUUGAUUUUAUCGCUCAUUCUAUGGUUGAUUCUGAAUAUUUUGGCAUCGAUUUCUUUUAAUUCCGUAAUCAUUUGUUCAUUGGCAAAUUCCCGAAGAUAAGACUUCUUCUUUGGUGCUUGGCAAAGGAUGGUUUACAUAGUGAAGGUUCUAUAUUGAUUCCUUUCAAGCCUUAAAAAAGAUAGCUUAAUAAAUUUCUUGUUGGCUAAGUUGCGGUGAAAUUUUUUGUGGUUGCAAGAUCUUUAUUUGGAAUUGAUAUUGGUUGCUUUUUUUUCUCUCUCUCUCUAAUGUCAAUCUGAGGCUUCCAAUAUGAAGCAGUUGUGCACUGACUGUUUGCUGGAUGUCUAUGAAUUCUAGGUCGUCUUUAACAGCAAAGAGAGAGAAAAAAGAUAGGAAGUCAAUUGGUGUUACAGAUGACUGACCGACUUCCUUCUUUGCUUUCAAUCGGUGUGAUAUUUGAUCAAACUCGUAGUUGGUUGCUGAGAUGACGGAGGACAAGAGACUCCUGCUACUGCCAAUCAGACUACUUGAGAUUAUAAUAUUUAACGAAAUAUUGAAAGCAUUCGUGUCAAAGGUUUGAGAAGUAGAGCCAGAAAAAGAUGACUCAUUGUUGAGGGCAGAGAUGCUUUGCGAGGGAGUCAGGCAACAAAAUCUACAACAGUACAGGGAAACACCAGACAUCUUAUAACCACCAAUUUAUCUUAUUAUCAUCCUUUUCAAGUUGGGCAUAUUAACAUGGUCUUCCAGAGAUGUAAUGUGGGUCAACCAAGGCCAACUCGAAAGUGGCAUGCGAGUUUCAUGGAACGGGACGACCCUCUCAUUGAGUUUCGCAAAACCCUACUGAGUUCCCAAGGGGGCAGGCCCCCAGUCAAGUGGGCCUUACCUAGCCGACGGUCGUGGAAUCGGUAUUUUUUUUAUAUACCUAGGUGGUAUUAACAAAUUUCAUCUUCGAAUUAAUAAGAAAAAUAUAAUUGUGAUUGUGUGACAUGUGAGCGUGCGUGUCUAAAACUAAAAGUUUUAUAUCAAAGAAUGAUACGUGAUCAUGAUGAAGGAUACAAACUAAAGAGACGCUUUGAAGCAGCCCAAAUAGUAAUUUUGAUUAAUCUAACUUUUGAAUUGGAGUCAAAAUACAACGGUCUCUAUACAUGUGUGAGGAGUAAAGGUAUAUAUAUGUGUGUGUUGACAUGAUAAGUAGAAUAUUUAUAUACCCCAGUGAUCAGUUGAGACAACUAUUAGACUUUGGAAGGUCCAUGGUUGCUUCGAAUUCCCACAUCAAUUAAAGUUGAGACCAACCUCUCAUAAGCUCAUUGUUUGGACCGUUUGGCGCUUCAUUUAAUUUGUUAUGAUCAGUCGCCAGGGUAUUAUUCUACGCGGAUGUGUCUUAUUUGACCGAGUGAUUAGAUUCUGGUUCUGAACACACGUUCCCUUGCGCACGCACUCACUUACGUCACUUGUAAAGCCUCGAGUCAUAGUCAAGUCCCUCAACUGUCAACUACCAACAAAAAAAACGACUUUAAUUUCACCAUUCGGCUGUCUUCUUCUCUGAUUUCCAUCAAUACGCCACGUGUUUCUUUCUUUAUUUCUUUCUUUUUUGUAGCAAUUUUUUUUAUUACUUUGCUUCGUUAAAAGUAUAGUUAGGUUUUAUUCCAAUAUUUUGAGUAAAUUAGUGGAUUGUGAGUUUGACCGUUUGUGGAGUUGUGGUACAUUUUUUUUUUACUGUGUUUCUUGUUGAAGAACUACUGUUUCUCAUAAUAUGAC